UAUGCCUACGGGGCGCAGCAGUGGGGGAUAUUGCACAAUGGGGGAAACCCUGAUGCAGCGACGCCGCGUGAGUGAAGAAGUAUUUCGGUACGUAAAGCUCUAUCAGCAGGGAAGAAAAAAAGUCCACAGGACUUUGGACGGUACCUGACUAAGAAGCCCCGGCUAACUACGUGCCAGCAGCCGCGGUAAUACGUAGGGGGCAAGCGUUAUCCGGAUUUACUGGGUGUAAAGGGAGCGUAGACGGCUGUGCAAGUCUGAAGUGAAAUGCCGGGGCCCAACCCCGGAACUGCUUUGGAAACUGUGCG
This 305-nucleotide ribosomal RNA is filed under the name uncultured bacterium. RNAcentral's name for it is "bacterial SSU rRNA". It matches the Rfam family "Bacterial small subunit ribosomal RNA", at positions 334 to 639 of the family's 1533-position model. The record is from RNAcentral.